UACGUAGGGUGCGAGCGUUGUCCGGAAUUAUUGGGCGUAAAGGGCUCGUAGGCGGUCUGUUGCGUCAGGAGUGAAAACUCGGGGCUUAACCCCGAGCCUGCUUCUGAUACGGGCAGACUAGAGGUAUGCAGGGGAGAACGGAAUUCCUGGUGUAGCGGUGAAAUGCGCAGAUAUCAGGAGGAACACCGGUGGCGAAGGCGGUUCUCGGGGCAGUACCUGACGCUGAGGAGCGAAAGUGUGGGGAGCGAACAGG
This 253-nucleotide ribosomal RNA is filed under the name uncultured bacterium. RNAcentral describes it as "partial 16S ribosomal RNA". It matches the Rfam family "Bacterial small subunit ribosomal RNA", at positions 524 to 776 of the family's 1533-position model. The record is from RNAcentral.